RNAcentral lists this ribosomal RNA (753 nucleotides) under Amphidromus semitessellatus. RNAcentral's name for it is "partial 16S ribosomal RNA". It matches the Rfam family "Bacterial large subunit ribosomal RNA", at positions 716 to 2581 of the family's 2925-position model. The record is from RNAcentral. Lineage: Eukaryota; Metazoa; Mollusca; Gastropoda; Stylommatophora; Camaenidae.
CGAAACAGGUUGAGCUAACUAUUUGCGGAUGUUAGUCAAAUAUACAUGUGUGUGGCAAAACACUGCGAGACAAAUAGUUAGGGGUGAUAGGCCAAGCAAAACCUGUGAUAUCUUGAUCUCAGGGAAACACAUUUAGUGAUAAAGCGGAUAAGAAAUGAUAAGGUUUCUUAUUUAAAUUAAUCGACAAACUUAAAAUUAUAUAGCUCUAACAGGUGAUAUAAUUAAAUUUUAACAUGACAAUGUGCUUUUUAUUUAAAAUACUGAUGAUUAAGAACCCCACACAAAUUUAUAAUGUCAAUAUUAGUAGGCACACAGGUCAAUAAAAUGAACUCGGCAAAUGAGUCUUUCGACUGUUUACCAAAAACAUAGCUACGUGAUCUAACACGUAGUUUUUUCUGCUCAAUGAAUCUUAAAUAGCCGCAGUACCCUGACUGUGCAAAGGUAGCAUAAUCAGUUGGCUUAUAAUUGAAGUCUGGAAUGAAAGAAUAAACGGAGGGAAGCUGUGUCUUAUUGAAGCUUUGAAAUUGACAGGUGAGUGAAAAUGCUCACAUUUAAAUAAUAGACGAGAAGACCCUAGAAAUUUAAGUAAGCUUUUGUUGGGGCGACAUAAUAGCAGUUAAACCUAUUUUAUGUACAUGUGCCUAAUUAGGGGUAAGAAUAAUUACUCUAGGGAUAACAGCGUAAUUUAUAAGAGAUUGCGACCUCGAUGUUGGACUAGGAAUUUGAGCCCAGAAGGCGAAAAUUUGCUCUGUC